Molecule: transfer RNA, 117 nt
Filed under: Candidatus Omnitrophota bacterium
Lineage: Bacteria; Pseudomonadati; Candidatus Omnitrophota
Description: tRNA-OTHER
Rfam family: tRNA
About the family: Transfer RNA (tRNA) molecules are approximately 80 nucleotides in length. Their secondary structure includes four short double-helical elements and three loops (D, anti-codon, and T loops). Further hydrogen bonds mediate the characteristic L-shaped molecular structure. tRNAs have two regions of fundamental functional importance: the anti-codon, which is responsible for specific mRNA codon recognition, and the 3' end, to which the tRNAs corresponding amino acid is attached (by aminoacyl-tRNA synthetases). tRNAs cope with the degeneracy of the genetic code in two manners: having more than one tRNA (with a specific anti-codon) for a particular amino acid; and 'wobble' base-pairing, i.e. permitting non-standard base-pairing at the 3rd anti-codon position.
Source: RNAcentral
GCAGAGGUAGCAAAGCCAGGUCAAAUGCGUCAGACUUAAGAAAUUAUCUUUUAACAAAAGUGUUUUAAGAUAUCUGAUGGCCUAGCGCCUUCGUGGGUUCAAAUCCCACCCUCUGCA